Agrilus planipennis (emerald ash borer) is the source of this 728-nucleotide long non-coding RNA. RefSeq lists it as uncharacterized. NCBI's taxonomy places the organism in Eukaryota, Metazoa, Arthropoda, Insecta, Coleoptera, Buprestidae. The record is from RefSeq and is a predicted model, not a curated record. The transcript is spliced from 3 exons.
AUUAACCUAAUGCAUAUAAUAAUGGUAUUAUUCUGUUAAUUUAAGAUAUUCAUUGAUUUCAAGAAAAUGUAAAAACUUUUUUUAAUUUAAAUUAAAUAACCAAUGCACGUAUGAUGCUUACGUAAGUUAAUAUUUUGGUACACAAUUUUUAUGCAUAAAGCACAAUCUUUCGACUUGUCCUCCGGUAUAUUCUACGAUUUUCCUCAAUAUUGAUGAGUAAAUAUAUUAAUUGUACCUAUUUAAAUAACAAUCUUAAUUUUUAAUUUAAUGAAAAACUGUUUCAACAAUAUAAUUUUAUUUUUGUAGACAAGUUAAGUCCCUAUAGUUUCUACAUUUUCAUUUGUUUUCAAUUUACCUUUACGUUUCUUUGUUUCAGAUUUUCUAUUAGCGAUUUUGAAACGUUAACGCGAAAUUCGGAGUGAUUUCUUAUUGUGAUACUGAUCGGUGUUAAAUGAUGAUGAUGAAUAAUGACGUUCCAUAUUUUGCAAGAAAUUAACCCUUUGCGUUUCAUCUGUAAGUGGUAUUUCAUCAGUUCAGUUCAUUCAAAAUAGAUACAACCACCAGAUUAAUCGGAAAGUAGAGCAUCCUUGGUAAUAUGAAAACCAAAAAGUACCUUUACAAGAUACUGACUUCAGAUUUUUGCCCCAAACUCGUGCUACAACCUUUCUUUCAAUGUCGGAAUCCUAAUAAGUAGAUACUUUUAGGAAUUUGAGGAACAAAUAGGACUG